RNAcentral lists this ribosomal RNA (564 nucleotides) under Helminthosporium aquaticum. Its description in RNAcentral is "eukaryotic LSU rRNA". The stretch from base 202 to 355 matches the Rfam family "5.8S ribosomal RNA". Lineage: Eukaryota; Fungi; Ascomycota; Dothideomycetes; Pleosporales; Massarinaceae. The record is from RNAcentral.
CGUAACAAGGUUUCCGUAGGUGAACCUGCGGAAGGAUCAUUACACUGUAACCCCAGAAGCCCGCCGCAAGGCGGGGGUCUGAACCCUCUGUCUACACGUACCUCUGUUGUUUCCUCGGCGGGCUUGCCCGUCGACCCGAACCACCUUAAACCCUUGCAUGUAAAAGCAUCACAAAACUCCGAUAACCAACCUAAAUAUCACAACUUUCAACAAUGGAUCUCUUGGUUCUGGCAUCGAUGAAGAACGCAGCGAAAUGCGAAAAGUAGUGUGAAUUGCAGAAUUCCGUGAACCAUCGAAUCUUUGAACGCACAUUGCGCCCCUCGGUAUUCCGUGGGGCAUGCCUGUUCGAGCGUCAUUUACACCCUCAAGCUCUGCUUGGUGUUGGGCGUCUGUCCCGCCUCCGCGCGUGGACUCGCCCCAAAGUCAUUGGCAGCGGUCGUGCCAGCUUCUCGCGCAGCACAAUGCGCUUCUCGAAGCCCCGGCGGAUCGGCGUCCAGCAAGCCCGUCUACACGACUUGACCUCGGAUCAGGUAGGGAUACCCGCUGAACUUAAGCAUAUCAAUA